UCUCUGAAGCUCACCAGGGGCAUCGCAGCGCCCAGGGCUAUCCAGCCUCUGGAGGGAGCAUGCCCUAGAGACUAAAACCACCACCGAUCCCUGAACACGUCCUGCCUGGCUCCAGAACGCAGAUCCAGCAUUGGUUCCCACACCCUGCGGCGCUGCUGGGACCUCCUGUGGGUGAUGGACGCAGAGAGGAGCCACCUGCUCCCCCACCAGAGCUGCCUGCCUUCCCUUUAUAAAGACACUAGAAGCUUCUCCCUCUCUGGGUAUCUGGGGUUCAUCCCUAGUUAGAGGUGAGCUGUCUAGUCCCGUAGGCAUGUGCUGGAACCACGUAUAUUACUACCACUUCCCAUCAUAACAACAGUUAGAUCACUCCAUGUUCCAGAGGCCUCAGAUGCGCGUAAGGGCUUCGGCAAAGCUUUAAUUGCAGGGGAGUCCAUGGCAGGGACACUCACCUUUGUGGGCUAGCUCCACGUCUUCUUGUCUCAUCCCAGCCUUUAGAUCCCGCUCCCAUUUUCAUUCCCGCGCCUAGCCUCCAAGCAGCGACUUCGACCUCGCUCCGCAGCGCUGAGCUGCACCUGGGACUCCUCGUGCCCCGCGUGCCCUGCGCCAGGGUUUCUCCUACUUGCGCUGUAGUGCGCAUGCGCGUUUCGGGAGUCUUUAAAGGGCCCACGCAGUCACUACGGGGCCCCCUUCGCUGGCCAUUGGAAGGAGACCUAGGUUUGAUCUCUGGGUCGGGAAGAUCCCCUGGAAGAGGGCAUGGCAACCCACUCCAGUAUUCUUGCAUGGAGAAUCCCAUGGACAGAGGAGCCUGGCGGGCUGCAGUCCAUGGGGUGGCAGAGAGCCGGACAUGACUGAGCGACUCAGCAGCAGCAGUCAAAUCCUCUAGGCGGCAUGGAGCCUCUUCUGAAGGUGGAUUAUUCCUGUC
Long non-coding RNA from Bos taurus (domestic cattle), 922 nucleotides. The record is from Ensembl. Lineage: Eukaryota; Metazoa; Chordata; Mammalia; Artiodactyla; Bovidae.